This 356-nucleotide transfer-messenger RNA is filed under the name Rubritalea profundi. RNAcentral describes it as "Standard tmRNA". It matches the Rfam family "transfer-messenger RNA". Rfam says of the family: Bacterial tmRNA, also known as 10Sa RNA or SsrA, is named for its dual tRNA and mRNA-like properties. Its role is to liberate the mRNA from a stalled ribosome. Lineage: Bacteria; Pseudomonadati; Verrucomicrobiota; Verrucomicrobiia; Verrucomicrobiales; Rubritaleaceae. The record is from Rfam by way of RNAcentral.
GGGGGCGUUUUGGUUUCGACUGGAUGUUGGAAGGCCUGUUGCAUGUAGAGGUUGAUCAGCUGGCCUCUUAAAAAGCCGAUCAAAACAAAUAAUUGCAGACUCUAACGAGCUCGCACUCGCUGCUUAAUUGCCAGUGACGCCUGAACCCUGACGCCUAUUACGGGGGAUCGCGACUACUUAAUAGGCUGGCUUGAAGAUCGGGUUUCCGGGUUCGAUAGUAAGACUAAACAGGAAAAUCGGAUAAGAGUAUGUGGCUGACGGACUUGCUCUUUCUUAAAAAACUCUGACAGCUAAACAUGUAGACGCUUGCCUGAAAGGCAUUUAGGACAGGGGUUCAACUCCCCUCGCCUCCACCA